GCGGAACUGCCGGGACCAGCGCUGGCCCGGGCCGGGCGCAUCCCCACCUGGCCUGGGGCGGGCUGGAGGGGCGGAACUGGGACUCUCGGACUCCGGCUACGUUGGAGAAAGGGUUGGCUGUACCCUGGAGAAGAGGAGAGACUCAAAGGUAGGAGGUGGGCGUCCUCGCAUUGACCCAGUCGGGGGCCACCGAGUGACGGUUUCCGCAGUGGCGGGGUCUGGGAAGAAGCCACGAAGC
Molecule: long non-coding RNA, 238 nt
Filed under: Homo sapiens (human)
Lineage: Eukaryota; Metazoa; Chordata; Mammalia; Primates; Hominidae
Description: non-protein coding lnc-PLPPR5-7:4
Source: RNAcentral